GUGAGGAAUAUUGGACAAUGGGCGCAAGCCUGAUCCAGCCAUGCCGCGUGCAGGAAGACGCAUCUAUGGUGUGUAAACUGCUUUUGUACGGGAAGAAACACUCCCUCGUGAGGGAGCUUGACGGUACCGUAAGAAUAAGGAUCGGCUAACUCCGUGCCAGCAGCCGCGGUAAUACGGAGGAUCCAAGCGUUAUCCGGAAUCAUUGGGUUUAAAGGGUCCGUAGGCGGUUUAAUAAGUCAGUGGUGAAAGUCCAUCGCUCAACGAUGGAACGGCCAUUGAUACUGUUAGACUUGAAUUACAAGGAAGUAACUAGAAUAUGUAGUGUAGCGGUGAAAUGCUUAGAUAUUACAUGGAAUACCAAUUGCGAAGGCAGGUUACUACUUGUGGAUUGACGCUGAUGGACGAAAGCGUGGGGAGCGAACAGGAUUAGAUACCCGUGUAGUCC
RNAcentral lists this ribosomal RNA (445 nucleotides) under uncultured bacterium. Its description in RNAcentral is "partial 16S ribosomal RNA". It matches the Rfam family "Bacterial small subunit ribosomal RNA", at positions 354 to 796 of the family's 1533-position model. The record is from RNAcentral.